UAGCUGGGGGAAACUCCAGGUAAUACUCGAUAAGCUCUACGGAGGAAAGCUCCGGCGCCUUGGGAGCGGCGAUACUCCUAUCAGGUAGUUGGUGGGGUAAAGGCCUACCAAGCCAAAGACGGGUAGCGGGUGUGAGAGCAUGACCCGCAGCAUCGGGACUGAGACACUGCCCGGACUCCUACGGGAGGCUGCAGUAACGAAUCUUCCGCAAUGCGCGAAAGCGUGACGGAGCAAUGCCGCGUGUGGGAUGAAGCGGUUUCGCCGCGUAAACCACUGUCAGGUCCUAGGAAGAACUGACCGGGACCAGAGGAAGGGCCGGCUAAUCUCGUGCCAGCAGCCGCGGUAAGACGAGAGGCCCGAGCGUUAAUCAGAAUCACUGGGCUUAAAGGGUGCGUAGGCGGACUUGUAAGUGUCCUGUGAAAUCCCACGGCUCAACCGUGGAAUUGCGGGGCAAACUGUAAGUCUUGAGGCAGGUAGAGGUCGUCGGAACGUUCGGUGGAGCGGUGAAAUGCGUAGAUAUCGAACGGAACGCCGAAGGAGAAGUCAGACGACUGGGCCUGUCCUGACGCUCAGGCACGAAAGCGUGGGGAUCAAACAGGAUUAGAUACCCUGGUAGUCCACGCCGUAAACGAUGUGCAACUAGACUGUUGGGGCUUUUGACGGCUUUACGGUCGCGCAGCUAACUUGUUAAGUUGACCGCCUGGGGAGUACGGUCGCAAGAUUAAAACUCAAAGGAAUUGACGGGGACCCGCACAAGCGGUGGAUGAUGUGGAUUAAUUCGAUGCAACGCGAAAAACCUUACCUACCCUUGACAUGCCUGGAAGUCUGGUGAGAGCCGGAUGUGCCUUCGGGAGCCAGGACACAGGUGCUGCAUGGCUGUCGUCAGCUCGUGUCGUGAGAUGUUGGGUUAAGUCCCGCAACGAGCGCAACCCUUGUCACUAGUUGCCAUCAUUGAGUUGGGCACUCUAGUGAGACUGCC
Molecule: ribosomal RNA, 979 nt
Filed under: uncultured bacterium
Lineage: Bacteria
Description: bacterial SSU rRNA
Rfam family: Bacterial small subunit ribosomal RNA
Source: RNAcentral